AAUUCAGGAGGGGCAUGAAUAAGCGUCUCUCCAAUGAUGGGUCUAGCUAGGGGCCUUUUUUUUUUUUUUUUAAAUUUUAAUAUAUGUACACCCUGAAAGAUUUGAUCCACGAAAUUGUUGCAGGGCAUAUGGUCAGGUAUGCUUAGUGGCACAAUCAUGCAAACCCUAAUCUUGAUUUGGGUCACAUUUCGCACCGAUUGGAAAAAGGAGGUCGAUGAAGCUAGAAAAAGAUUGGAUAAAUGGGAGGAUAAAAAAGAGGCUGUUUUGAUGUAGGAAGUUUGAUCCCAACUAUGGGAAAUCUAAAAGCGUAUCUCCAUGUUGAAACCUAUAGAAUUUGAUAACAUCCAGCAUCUGCUAGUCUAUUUGAAACAAAUAACAACGCUACCUAUUUCUAUUUUUCUUGGCACCUGUGCUUCUCUUUCAUAAAUACUAUAUCGAUCUAUAUGCUGAGUUACAAGCAUCUAGAGUGAGGGUCAAACACAGGUAAUAAUAAAAUUUUCUAAGUUUUUCAUAUCUUCAUAUCA
Molecule: long non-coding RNA, 524 nt
Organism: Gossypium arboreum
Lineage: Eukaryota; Viridiplantae; Streptophyta; Magnoliopsida; Malvales; Malvaceae
Exons: 2
Source: RefSeq, a predicted model, not a curated record